Molecule: long non-coding RNA, 1275 nt
Organism: Zea mays
Lineage: Eukaryota; Viridiplantae; Streptophyta; Magnoliopsida; Poales; Poaceae
Exons: 2
Source: RefSeq, a predicted model, not a curated record
CCCCUUUGUGCAGCCGCCCCCACUUCCCCACCCUUUGGCCGCCGCCCCCCUUCCAUCUCCCCCCUCUCUCAAUCCUUGCAGCCACACCACCAAGCCCUAGCCGCCCCCCCCAUCUCCUCCUCCCAAGGUACCAUUCCUUGCCACUCGGAUCGUCGUCGCGUGGUGUGAAUCUUCAAUCGUUUUGGUGGAGGGAAGAAAGGAGGAAGAAAAGGGGGAGAAUCCAAGGUGGUGGACUUCCGGAUCGUUCUUAGGGAUUUGCCCAAACUCCCGGUGAAGGCAAGUAAAACUGUGAUGGUUAUUCCUUCUGUCAAAUGAGGAGUCUUAUACUUGAUUAUGUCGUGCUAUUGUGUCCAUAUUCAUAUUUUUUUAUUGAGUACCAUCAUUUGAAAAGGUUCAUGUUUCAUGGAUUUCAUAUGUUGAGUUUGAGGUUUGAUUAUGUUACUCAAGUGGUUAUUAUGUGGAAGGGGUGGAAGUAUAUGUCUAGCACAUUUUAUUUGAGAAGAACUCACGAUGUUGUCAUGCAUAAUGCACUCAUCAUCCAUUGCAUUGAAGUUUUGUCACGAUCUUAUGGUCCGACCGUACCGGUACAUUGAGCAUCAUAUGUUGCCCGAGAAGGGGUAUGAUGCAGCUUCAUAUCCUUAGAGAUAUGGAGGCAGAAGUCAUUAUUGUAUCUGUAGCCAUGUGCAUUCAUGGGAGAGGUGUGGAAUCUAUUAUGUGGAUGUGGAUAAUCUGGUCUUGUGCAUGGUGUUUCUUCUUGACGUUAAGUAUUUAGUUACUUUUUUACUUGCUGCAAUUUAAUGUUCAAAAGGGAAGUUUGAACCACAUGGGUGUUUAAGCACAGUUGAUUUACUAUGCCCAAUUUGUUGUUGUUAUGUUUACUUGCUGAGAUGUGUCACAUCUUGCAUUGUUUGAUGCAGGCACCUAAUUUCUGCUUUGGGAAAAGAGGGAUGUAGCAGCACGACCACUACACCUUUAAUAAAGGAACCACCACUUAAUAAUGUUGUUAAUCAGAGAGGGUCAAGUCUAGUGAAUUACUUUGUUCUUGGUUGAGCGUUUGUUUUGGGGUGGGCUGAGUUCCUUAUCUCAUUUGUUUUUGUUUCUGUUGGGUCAUGAAUGUGUUUUACCACUUUUGCAUUUAAAUUCUACUACGUAGAUUAUCUGUCUUUAUAUCCUGUUUGAACCACAUGUUUCCCCUCCUUGUUAUGCUAGUUUCAAAGGAGGUGCUGCCGGAUUUUGCAGUAUUUCUCUCUUUAUUACAUCUCUUGUGUUGAGUAA